UCAGACUUAUCUUUUAGUCUCCAGAGGCAGAAAAAAAGCAGAAAAGGUUGUUGAAAUUCUUCACAUUGAUUUCAGGGCAAUGAUCUCAAACGGCGCAGUGGGAACCCGCAAAUUUAAGAGGGAACCCUCCACAUGCACUCCUCAGUACUUGGGGAACAGAAAGGAAUGAGAUGAAUGCACAUGGCUACAAGAAACGAGAACUAACAGAAAAUAAAAAGCCUCGAGACUUUCACUUGAUCUAGCUAAGAGCUCUAAAGCAGUGUUAUUUCUUCAGAACUUCCUUCAGUGUUUGAGCUACCCAGGAAUUCUUCCAGUAAACUACUUGAACACAGGAAGCCAUUAGACUGUACAAUUACAAAAUAUUAGGUUCUCCUAUGGUAGAAAACAGAGAUAACCACUGUUACCGAAUAGUAUCUUUCGGGUGGGUUUUAAAAUAAACAGUUUCCCUAGGAAAAGAGCCAGCCUGCCUGCAUAUGGCAGGGAAGUGUGACACAAAGCACCAGACUGGUUUUGGCAAACACAGGGAGGAGCCAAUUUCCAAAAGCUCUACAGUUUUAAUCCCCACUGGCAUGCAAUGUUUGUUUGUAUCUCACCCUUCUAUGUGUAAAACUGGACUCAAAAUUUGCACACUUAAGGAAUCCUCUUCCUGAUUUUCUUGAUUUUGAUAUGAUCUCAUUUGGGCCAGAAGUAAUGCCUCCUAGAACUCUAUCUUCCUGGUCUACUAAGAAAAUAAAGUGGUACACAUAUUGUAAGGAAAGUGUAAAUGUGGAUGAAAGCAGAACAAAUUUAGCUAUUGUGACUAGAGACACAGGAUUCAUUAAGCCACCAGUUGCUCUGGAUGGCCAUUUUCUUUUCAAUACAAGGGGUGAAUAUCAAGGUCAAU
RNAcentral lists this long non-coding RNA (883 nucleotides) under Homo sapiens (human). RNAcentral describes it as "HSALNT0119010". Lineage: Eukaryota; Metazoa; Chordata; Mammalia; Primates; Hominidae. The record is from RNAcentral.